RNAcentral lists this ribosomal RNA (343 nucleotides) under uncultured bacterium. RNAcentral describes it as "bacterial SSU rRNA". It matches the Rfam family "Bacterial small subunit ribosomal RNA", at positions 28 to 369 of the family's 1533-position model. The record is from RNAcentral.
GAUGAACGCUAGCGGCAGGCUUAAUACAUGCAAGUCGAGCGGUAACAGGUGUAGCAAUACAUGCUGACGAGCGGCAGACGGGUGAGGAACACGUACGCAACUUUCCUCAAACCGGGGCACAACCUUGAGAAAUCAGGGCUAAUUCCCCAUAACAUUGCGAGAGGGCAUCUGAUUGCAAUUAAAGAUUCGUCGGUUUGAGAUGGGCGUGCGUUCGANGGUCUAGUUGGUAGGGUAACGGCUUACCAAGGCAACGAUCGAUAGCUGGUGUGAGAGCACGACCAGCCACACGGGCACUGAGAUGCGGCCCGACUCCGUAGGGAGGCAGCAGUAAGGAAUAUUGGUC